RNAcentral lists this ribosomal RNA (450 nucleotides) under uncultured bacterium. RNAcentral's name for it is "partial 16S ribosomal RNA". It matches the Rfam family "Bacterial small subunit ribosomal RNA", at positions 338 to 795 of the family's 1533-position model. The record is from RNAcentral.
CCUACGGGUGGCUGCAGUGGGGAAUUUUGGACAAUGGGGGCAACCCUGAUCCAGCCAUGCCGCGUGAGUGAAGAAGGCCUUCGGGUUGUAAAGCUCUUUCGGCCGGGAAGAAAUCGUGCGGGCUAAUACCCUGUAUGGAUGACGGUACCGGAAGAAGAAGCACCGGCUAACUACGUGCCAGCAGCCGCGGUAAUACGUAGGGUGCGUACGUUAAUCGGAAUUACGGGGGGUGAAUCGGGAGGACGGGGUUGAAAUCCCCGGGCUUAACCUGGGAACUGCGUUUGUGACUGCGAGACUUGAGUGCGGCAGAGGGGGGUGGAAUUCCACGUGUAGCAGUGAAAUGCGUAGAGAUGUGGAGGAACACCGAUGGCGAAGGCAGCCCCCUGGGUCGACACUGACGCUCAUGCACGAAAGCGUGGGGAGCAAACAGGAUUAGAUACCCCUGUAGUC